AUUGAAACAGAAUCAAAAAAGUGAUUCCUCCAAAAGCACUUCCUAGACAUGCUUCUCUCCUCUCACACGGCUUCCGCUCAAACUCUCUCUCCGCCGCACCAAAACUCACGCCCGACAACAGUGGAGAUCUGACCUUCUAUUGAGACUACACCAAACCAAAUUGUUCUUCGAUCUUAACCUAACUACAAAAUUAACUUCUCCUAAUUCUUAACGAACAACCUGAAUCGGAGGAGAGUUUCCAUGAAUCUCAAGAUUUGUCGGUUAAAUCAGGUGGCGAAACCGUGAUAACUCAUCUAACUAGUUCAAGGAUAAUGAUCCUCCGGUAGAACCUACGCUCCAAUAACAAGCUUACAGUGAAAACGAGGGAAGAAAUAAAUACCUUUGGUAUGAACUCCGGCAGGGAUGAGCAGUGGACCAUGGAUGUGGUUGCUCCGAUUCGAUUGAUGAAUUCUCUCUCUUAGUUUGAGCGCCUUUUCUACCUUCCGUUUUCUUCAACUGAGAUCGCACCUUCUUCCUUUUCUUGCUCACUCGAUACGAUUCUGGUAACGCGUUGCGGUUCUUGGCCGAGUUGUUGCAGUGUGGUUCGUUAAUGGAUUUUGGAGAAACCGAACGGCGUGACGACGACGUUCACCGGAUGCAGACUUCAGUGAUGGAUGGAGAUGAUGAGGAGCGGUGAGGAUGAAGUAGUUUGCGCGCGGUAGCUCUGUUGUAGGUUUUGUAGAAGAAAUUGCCGAUGGAAGAGAUGAAUGGAGAGUUGAGUCCAAUUGGUGAAGAACUCAGAAAGAUAGAAGGUGAUGGAAAGAAAUGGAAUCCGAUUUUUGGUUGAAGGAUCCUCCAGAGCUUGGUUAAAGGUUGAACUUCUCGGUUGUGAGUCGAAAGUUGUUUUGAGCUGUGGUGUUCGCGUUUUGGAGGUUGGCUAUGGCUUAGAGCUUGGCGCUUGCACUGCUGCGUUUUGGUGUUGUUGCAGUUUGGCGUGCGUUUUGUUGGAGGCUCGUGCAUUAGCUGCGUUUUGCAACUCUGAGUUGUUGUGGCUUGAAGCUUUGGAUUGUUUUCACAUGUACUUUCCUGCUGCAAUUAUUUCAUUUUUCCUUAUUGUACAUUAACAUUGGAUUUGGACAAAUGGUUUUCUUGUGAAUUUUGGAUGAACAACAUUGGAAGUGGAUAUGGAUGUAUGUAAUAUGUAGUUAAAAUGGAUAA
Long non-coding RNA from Lathyrus oleraceus (garden pea), 1197 nucleotides. RefSeq lists it as uncharacterized. The transcript has 3 exons. The record is from RefSeq and is a predicted model, not a curated record. Lineage: Eukaryota; Viridiplantae; Streptophyta; Magnoliopsida; Fabales; Fabaceae.